GCCUUCGUGGUGCAGUGGUCAACACGUUCGACGUGUAACCGAGAGGUCCGUGGUUCGAUUCCCGGCGAAGGCG
This 73-nucleotide transfer RNA is filed under the name Stegodyphus mimosarum. It matches the Rfam family "tRNA". From Rfam's summary of the family: Transfer RNA (tRNA) molecules are approximately 80 nucleotides in length. Their secondary structure includes four short double-helical elements and three loops (D, anti-codon, and T loops). The record is from Rfam by way of RNAcentral. Lineage: Eukaryota; Metazoa; Arthropoda; Arachnida; Araneae; Eresidae.